UCUAUAAAUUUAGUUUCAUUAUCUUCAAAUUCUUUAAUCAAAUGUGAAUAUGUUUUAAGCGUUGUAUGUACAUC
RNAcentral lists this transfer RNA (74 nucleotides) under Staphylococcus aureus. RNAcentral describes it as "tRNA-Gly-TCC". The record is from RNAcentral. Lineage: Bacteria; Bacillati; Bacillota; Bacilli; Caryophanales; Staphylococcaceae.